UGGGGAAUAUUGGACAAUGGGCGCAAGCCUGAUCCAGCCAUGCCGCGUGAGUGAUGAAGGCCCUAGGGUUGUAAAGCUCUUUCACCGGUGAAGAUAAUGACGGUAACCGGAGAAGAAGCCCCGGCUAACUUCGUGCCAGCAGCCGCGGUAAUACGAAGGGGGCUAGCGUUGUUCGGAUUUACUGGGCGUAAAGCGCACGUAGGCGGACUAUUAAGUCAGGGGUGAAAUCCCGGGGCUCAACCCCGGAACUGCCUUUGAUACUGGUAGUCUUGAGUUCGAGAGAGGUGAGUGGAAUUCCGAGUGUAGAGGUGAAAUUCGUAGAUAUUCGGAGGAGCACCAGUGGCGAAGGCGGCUCACUGGCUCGAUACUGACGCUGAGGUGCGAAAGCGUGGGGAGCAAACAGG
This 404-nucleotide ribosomal RNA is filed under the name Actinomycetes bacterium. RNAcentral's name for it is "Actinobacteria bacterium partial 16S ribosomal RNA". It matches the Rfam family "Bacterial small subunit ribosomal RNA", at positions 355 to 776 of the family's 1533-position model. The record is from RNAcentral. Lineage: Bacteria; Bacillati; Actinomycetota; Actinomycetes.